Molecule: small nucleolar RNA, 107 nt
Filed under: Helianthus annuus (common sunflower)
Lineage: Eukaryota; Viridiplantae; Streptophyta; Magnoliopsida; Asterales; Asteraceae
Description: Plant small nucleolar RNA R71
Rfam family: Plant small nucleolar RNA R71
About the family: R71 is a member of the C/D box family of snoRNAs containing the C (UGAUGA) and D (CUGA) box motifs. Multiple nearly identical copies of this snoRNA have been identified in Arabidopsis, and it is thought to function as a 2'-O-ribose methylation guide for 18S ribosomal RNA.
Source: RNAcentral
AACCUGUGGUGUGGACAUUUAUUCAACAACUCCUUGAAACUCUCACAGAUCUCGUAGAAAGACUCCCCCUCUUUCUGAUGAUAGGAUGGAAUCAUGCUCCGAAGACG